RNAcentral lists this ribosomal RNA (250 nucleotides) under uncultured bacterium. Its description in RNAcentral is "partial 16S ribosomal RNA". It matches the Rfam family "Bacterial small subunit ribosomal RNA", at positions 524 to 773 of the family's 1533-position model. The record is from RNAcentral.
UACGGAGGGAGCUAGCGUUGUUCGGAUUUACUGGGCGUAAAGCGCACGUAGGCGGCAUAGUAAGUCAGGGGUGAAAUCCCGGGGCUCAACCCCGGAACUGCCCUUGAAACUGCUAAGCUAGAAUCUUGGAGAGGCGAGUGGAAUUCCGAGUGUAGAGGUGAAAUUCGUAGAUAUUCGGAAGAACACCAGUGGCGAAGGCGACUCGCUGGACAAGUAUUGACGCUGAGGUGCGAAAGCGUGGGGAGCAAAC